GGCCGGGUAUGCAAAACUGGUAAAGCAGCCAGGUCGAGAGCCUGGUGACUGUGGGUUCGAUUCCCACCUCGGCUACUA
RNAcentral lists this transfer RNA (78 nucleotides) under Gemmataceae bacterium. Its description in RNAcentral is "tRNA-OTHER". It matches the Rfam family "tRNA". From Rfam's summary of the family: Transfer RNA (tRNA) molecules are approximately 80 nucleotides in length. Their secondary structure includes four short double-helical elements and three loops (D, anti-codon, and T loops). Further hydrogen bonds mediate the characteristic L-shaped molecular structure. tRNAs have two regions of fundamental functional importance: the anti-codon, which is responsible for specific mRNA codon recognition, and the 3' end, to which the tRNAs corresponding amino acid is attached (by aminoacyl-tRNA synthetases). tRNAs cope with the degeneracy of the genetic code in two manners: having more than one tRNA (with a specific anti-codon) for a particular amino acid; and 'wobble' base-pairing, i.e. permitting non-standard base-pairing at the 3rd anti-codon position. Lineage: Bacteria; Pseudomonadati; Planctomycetota; Planctomycetia; Gemmatales; Gemmataceae. The record is from RNAcentral.